Molecule: ribosomal RNA, 254 nt
Filed under: uncultured bacterium
Lineage: Bacteria
Description: partial 16S ribosomal RNA
Rfam family: Bacterial small subunit ribosomal RNA
Source: RNAcentral
UACAGAGGGGGCAAGCGUUGUUCGGAAUUACUGGGCGUAAAGGGCGCGUCGGUGGGAGUCUAAGUCAGAUGUGAAAGCCCUGGGCUCAACCUAGGAACUGCAUUUGAUACUGGACUGUCUAGAGUGAGGUAGAGGGUGGCGGAAUUCCCGGUGUAGCGGUGAAAUGCGUAGAUAUCGGGAAGAACACCAGUGGCGAAGGCGGCCACCUGGACCUUAACUGACACUGAGGCACGAAAGCUAGGGGAGCAAACAGG